This 26-nucleotide non-coding RNA is filed under the name Homo sapiens (human). Lineage: Eukaryota; Metazoa; Chordata; Mammalia; Primates; Hominidae. The record is from RNAcentral.
UGACAUGGUGGUACUUGCCUGUAUUC